UAGGAGUGACUCACACAAGCCAGGUGCGC
RNAcentral lists this small RNA (29 nucleotides) under Bombyx mori (domestic silkworm). RNAcentral's name for it is "ovarian small RNA-1916". Lineage: Eukaryota; Metazoa; Arthropoda; Insecta; Lepidoptera; Bombycidae. The record is from RNAcentral.